This 390-nucleotide ribosomal RNA is filed under the name Chlorella sp. MACC 215. RNAcentral describes it as "SSU rRNA". It matches the Rfam family "Eukaryotic small subunit ribosomal RNA", at positions 606 to 1004 of the family's 1831-position model. The record is from RNAcentral. Lineage: Eukaryota; Viridiplantae; Chlorophyta; Trebouxiophyceae; Chlorellales; Chlorellaceae.
AUAGCUGUUGCAGUUAAAGCUCGUAGUUGGAUUUCGGGUGGGUUCUAGCGGUCCGCCUAUGGUGAGUACUGCUAUGGCCUAUCUUUCUGUCGGGGACGGGCUUCUGGGCUUAACUGUCCGGGACUCGGAGUCGACGUGGUUACUUUGAGUAAAUUAGAGUGUUCAAAGCAGGCUUACGCCCUGAAUACUUUAGCAUGGAAUAACACGAUAGGACUCUGGCCUAUCUUGUUGGUCUGUAGGACUGGAGUAAUGAUUAAGAGGGACAGUCGGGGGCAUUCGUAUUUCAUUGUCAGAGGUGAAAUUCUUGGAUUUAUGAAAGACGAACUACUGCGAAAGCAUUUGCCAAGGAUGUUUUCAUUAAUCAAGAACGAAAGUUGGGGGGCUCGAAGA